CCCUUAGAGUUUGAUCCUGGCUCAGAACGAACGCUGGCGGCACGCCUAACACAUGCAAGUCGAAUGGGACUAUAGACUUCGGUCUAUAGUUUAGUGGCAGACGGGUGAGUAACACGUGGGAAACUACCCAACGGUGGGGAAUAACUGUGGGAAACCGCAGCUAAUACCGCAUACGCCCUUAGGGGGAAAGACUUCGGUCGCCGAUGGAAGUGCCCGCGCUAGGUUAGGUAGUUGGUAGGGUAAUGGCCUACCAAGCCUACGAUCUAUAGCUGGUCUGAGAGGAUGAUCAGCCACACUGGGACUGAGACACGGCCCAGACUCUUACGGGAGGCAGCAGUGGGGAAUCUUGGACAAUGGGGGAAACCCUGAUCCAGCGAUGCCGCGUGAGUGAAGAAGGCCUUAGGGUUGUAAAACUCUUUCAACGGGGAAGAUGAUGACGGUACCCGUAGAAGAAGCUCCGGCUAACUCCGUGCCAGCAGCCGCGGUAAUACGGAGGGAGCUAGCGUUGUUCGGAAUUACUGGGCGUAAAGGGCGCGUAGGCGGUUGUCUAAGUCUGAUGUGAAAGCCCUGGGCUUAACCCAGGAACUGCAUUUGAUACUGGACAACUAGAGGUAAGGAGAGGUGAGCGGAAUUCCUAGUGUAGAGGUGAAAUUCGUAGAUAUUAGGAAGAACACCGUUGGCGAAGGCGGCUCACUGGACUUAAUCUGACGCUAAAGCGCGAAAGCGUGGGGAACAAACAGGAUUAGAUACCCUGGUAGUCCACGCC
RNAcentral lists this ribosomal RNA (766 nucleotides) under uncultured bacterium. RNAcentral describes it as "bacterial SSU rRNA". It matches the Rfam family "Bacterial small subunit ribosomal RNA", at positions 1 to 801 of the family's 1533-position model. The record is from RNAcentral.